Gossypium raimondii (Peruvian cotton) is the source of this 1307-nucleotide long non-coding RNA. RefSeq lists it as uncharacterized. The transcript is spliced from 5 exons. The record is from RefSeq and is a predicted model, not a curated record. NCBI's taxonomy places the organism in Eukaryota, Viridiplantae, Streptophyta, Magnoliopsida, Malvales, Malvaceae.
UAAAUACUUCAAGAAAGAAGCAACGAUGUUUUUGCUGAAAUAUAAACAAGCCUCUAUUGUCCAAUGUGAGUUCGAACAAUUAAUUUUCAGUAUGGUGCUCUUGGCUUUGCUUAAAUAUCUUAUAACCAUGCAAGAUUUGUCUAUACAAUACUGUCAAAGUUUAAUAUAAGCAAGUUAGAAAGGAAUCAAGAAAGGGAGCACUUCAUCUAGGAGACAAACAAGCUUUGGCUUUUUGCUAGGAAUGUGUAUGAACGUGCGAUGGAGAAGCUGGCGGAUGAAGAAGAUGCAGAGCAGUUAUUCGUUGCAUUCACCGAAUUUGAGGAACGGUGUAAGGAAACGGAACGAGCUCGUAGUAUUUACAAGUUUGCUCUCAAUCAUAUACCUAAAGGUAGUGUAGAGGAUUUUUAUAGAAAGUUUGCGGCUUUUGAGAAGCAAUAUGGAGAAAAGGAAGGGAUUGAGGAUGCCAUUGUGGGGAAGAGGAGGUUUCAGUAUGAGGAUGAAGUCAGGAAGAAUCCAUUGAAUUAUGAUGCUUGGUUUGAUUAUAUAAGGUUGGAAGAGGAUUGUUAUAGAAACUUUUUGUGGCUUUUGAGAAGCAAUAUGGAGAUAAGGAAGGGAUUGAGGAUGCCAUUGUAGGGAAGAAGAGGUUUUAGUAUGAGGAUGAAGUCAGGAAGAAUCCAUUGAAUUAUGAUGCUUGGUUUGAUUAUAUAAGGUUGGAAGAGAGUGUAGGCAAUAAGGGGAGGAUUAGGGAGGUUUAUGAGAGAGCUAUUGCUAAUGUUUCUCUAGCUGAGGAGAAGCGAUAUUGGCAGAGAUAUAUUUACGUAUGGAUUAAUUAUGCUUUAUAUUUGGAGCUUGAUGCUGGGGAUAUGGAGCGAACGAGAGAUGUGUACAGGGAGUGCCUUAAGCUUAUUCCACAUGAGAAGUUUUCUUUUGUAAAGAUCUAGCUUCUUGUUGCACAGUUUGAAAUAAGACAGCUCAAUCUCAAGGGUGCGCGGCAAAUUUUGGGAAAUGCUAUUGGAAAGGCACCUAAAGAUAAGAUCUUUAAGAAGUAUAUUAAAAUUGAGCUGCAACUUGGUAAUAUUGACCGUUGCCGAAAACUGUAUGAGAAGUAUCUGGAGUGGAGCAAAUAUGUCGAGUUAGAAAGAUCAUUAGCUAAAACAGAGCGAGCAAGAGCUAUUUUUGAGCUUGCCAACUUAGACAUUUUUUUCUUAUUGUAAGAAUAUUUUUAACAUUGUAACAUUUAACAUUAUUGUAAGAAUAUUUUGAAUUAUACUUUAGUUAUCAAUUUAUAUCAUAUAUCUUUCGUUGAA